CUUCGCUAUAAUUUAAAUUAUGUCUUGUGAAAAUGUCUAGCUUUGACUUGUUCAUACCGUAUUACUAAGAUUCUUGCUAGUAUUUUAAACCCGAACUAACCGUUUAUUCCGUUAUAUUACAGUAUAACCCCCGGUAUUCACCUCUCGUCUCGUGUGUCAUCUCGCUUCUUGCCUCCGGUGCUGCCAGUGUACACUACCUGUUCUGCAUUGUACUUUGUUUAAUUUAAGUUUCGUGAACAUCAGCCUCUACAGUUCUUGACAGACUGCACUGAUGUCCAAGUUUCUUUCGUUUCUAUUUCAAUAAAAAUUAUUAGCUGUUA
Hyalella azteca is the source of this 320-nucleotide long non-coding RNA. RefSeq lists it as uncharacterized. The transcript has 2 exons. The record is from RefSeq and is a predicted model, not a curated record. Lineage: Eukaryota; Metazoa; Arthropoda; Malacostraca; Amphipoda; Hyalellidae.